GUAACUAUUAUGUUUUUCAGACGCUGAUUGCAACUGCAAAGGGUUUAAUUUUGUCCAAUCGGCGGGCGGACCCGCCGAGGAAACGUAAGUACUCAAAAGACAUGGGUAAGAGAUAGCAGGCAAAGCCCGCAAACUCUAGGUAAUGAUCCUUCCGCAGGUUCACCUACGGAAA
This 172-nucleotide unclassified non-coding RNA is filed under the name uncultured fungus. RNAcentral's name for it is "sequence contains ITS1". The record is from RNAcentral. Lineage: Eukaryota; Fungi.